UACGUAGGUGGCGAGCGUUGUCCGGAUUUACUGGGCGUAAAGAGCGCGCAGGCGGUCGGCCAAGUCGAGUGUGAAAGCCCCCGGCUCAACUGGGGAGGGUCACUUGAUACUGGUCGACUCGAAGGCGGGAGAGGGAAGUGGAAUUCCCGGUGUAGUGGUGAAAUGCGUAGAUAUCGGGAGGAACACCAGUGGCGAAGGCGACUUCCUGGCCCGUUCUUGACGCUGAGGCGCGAAAGCUAGGGGAGCAAACGGG
This 253-nucleotide ribosomal RNA is filed under the name uncultured bacterium. RNAcentral's name for it is "partial 16S ribosomal RNA". It matches the Rfam family "Bacterial small subunit ribosomal RNA", at positions 524 to 776 of the family's 1533-position model. The record is from RNAcentral. RNAcentral also lists the same sequence under 1 other name.